This 656-nucleotide ribosomal RNA is filed under the name Salmonella enterica subsp. enterica serovar Heidelberg. RNAcentral's name for it is "partial 23S ribosomal RNA". It matches the Rfam family "Bacterial large subunit ribosomal RNA", at positions 580 to 1219 of the family's 2925-position model. Lineage: Bacteria; Pseudomonadati; Pseudomonadota; Gammaproteobacteria; Enterobacterales; Enterobacteriaceae. The record is from RNAcentral.
CACCCUUUGGGGUGUGACUGCGUACCUUUUGUAUAAUGGGUCAGCGACUUAUAUUCUGUAGCAAGGUUAACCGUAUAGGGGAGCCGUAGGGAAACCGAGUCUUAACCGGGCGUUAAGUUGCAGGGUAUAGACCCGAAACCCGGUGAUCUAGCCAUGGGCAGGUUGAAGGUUGGGUAACACUAACUGGAGGACCGAACCGACUAAUGUUGAAAAAUUAGCGGAUGACCUGUGGCUGGGGGUGAAAGGCCAAUCAAACCGGGAGAUAGCUGGUUCUCCCCGAAAGCUAUUUAGGUAGCGCCUCGUGAAUUCAUCUCCGGGGGUAGAGCACUGUUUCGGCUAGGGGGCCAUCCCGGCUUACCAACCCGAUGCAAACUGCGAAUACCGGAGAAUGUUAUCACGGGAGACACACGGCGGGUGCUAACGUCCGUCGUGAAGAGGGAAACAACCCAGACCGCCAGCUAAGGUCCCAAAGUCAUGGUUAAGUGGGAAACGAUGUGGGAAGGCCCAGACAGCCAGGAUGUUGGCUUAGAAGCAGCCAUCAUUUAAAGAAAGCGUAAUAGCUCACUGGUCGAGUCGGCCUGCGCGGAAGAUGUAACGGGGCUAAACCAUGCACCGAAGCUGCGGCAGCGAACGUAUCACCCAAGACAACUUUACGG